Molecule: ribosomal RNA, 242 nt
Filed under: uncultured Actinomycetales bacterium
Lineage: Bacteria; Bacillati; Actinomycetota; Actinomycetes; Actinomycetales
Description: partial 16S ribosomal RNA
Rfam family: Bacterial small subunit ribosomal RNA
Source: RNAcentral
ACUCGAGUGGCGAACGGGUGAGUAACACGUGGGUGAUCUGCCCUGCACUUCGGGAUAAGCUUGGGAAACUGGGUCUAAUACCGGAUAGGAGCCAUCUUUAGUGUGGUGGUUGAAAAGUCUUUUCGGUGUAGGAUGAGCUCGCGGCCUAUCAGCUUGUUGGUGGGGUAAUGGCCUACCAAGGCGGCGACGGGUAGCCGGCCUGAGAGGGUGUACGGCCACAUUGGGACUGAGAUACGGCCCAG